Molecule: ribosomal RNA, 443 nt
Filed under: uncultured bacterium
Lineage: Bacteria
Description: partial 16S ribosomal RNA
Rfam family: Bacterial small subunit ribosomal RNA
Source: RNAcentral
CCUACGGGUGGCUGCAGUGGGGAAUAUUGGGCAAUGGGCGCCAGCCUGACCCAGCAACGCCGCGUGAAGGAAGAAGGCUUUCGGGUUGUAAACUUCUUUUCUCAGGGACGAAGCAAGUGACGGUACCUGCGGAAUAAGCCACGGCUAACUAAGUGCCUGCAGCCGCGGUAAUACGUAGGUGGCAAGCGUUAUCCGGAUUUACUGGGUGUAAAGGGCGUGUAGGCGGGGAUGCAAGUCAGAUGUGAAAACCACGGGCUCAACCUGUGGCCUGCAUUUGAAACUGUGUUUCUUGAGUACUGGGGAGGCAGACGGAAUUCCUGGUGUAGCGGUGAAAUGCGUAGAUAUUAUGAGGAACACCAGUGGCGAAGGCGGGCGGCUGGACAGCAACUGACGCUGAGGCGCGAAAGCGUGGGUAGCAAACAGGAUUAGAUACCCGAGUAGUC